GAUGAACGCUGGCGGCGUGCUUAACACAUGCAAGUCGAACGAAGCACUAUGAAGUUUUCGGACGGAAGAGUGACUGAGUGGCGGACGGGUGAGUAACGCGUGGGUAACCUGCCUCAUACAGGGGGAUAACAGUUAGAAAUGACUGCUAAUACCGCAUAAGCGCACAGUACCGCAUGGUAUGGUGUGAAAAACUCCGGUGGUAUGAGAUGGACCCGCGUCUGAUUAGCUAGUUGGUGAGGUAACGGCCCACCAAGGCGACGAUCAGUAGCCGACCUGAGAGGUGACCGGCACAUUGGGACUGGAGACACGGCCCAAAACUCCUACGGGAGCAGCAGUGGGAAUAUUGGCACAAUGGCGAAAGCCUGAUGCAGCGACGCCGCG
Molecule: ribosomal RNA, 381 nt
Filed under: uncultured bacterium
Lineage: Bacteria
Description: bacterial SSU rRNA
Rfam family: Bacterial small subunit ribosomal RNA
Source: RNAcentral